UUUAAAGAGAGUUUGAUCCUGGCUCAGGACGAACGCUGGCGGCGUGCCUAAUACAUGCAAGUCGAACGAAUGGAGGAAGAGCUUGCUCUUCCAAAGUUAGUGGCGGACGGGUGAGUAACACGUGGGCAACCUGCCUGUAAGUUGGGGAUAACUCCGGGAAACCGGGGCUAAUACCGAAUGAUAAAGUGUGGCGCAUGCCACGCUUUUGAAAGAUGGUUUCGGCUAUCGCUUACAGAUGGGCCCGCGGUGCAUUAGCUAGUUGGUAGGGUAAU
Molecule: ribosomal RNA, 272 nt
Filed under: Listeria monocytogenes
Lineage: Bacteria; Bacillati; Bacillota; Bacilli; Caryophanales; Listeriaceae
Also listed under: 1 other name
Description: partial 16S ribosomal RNA
Rfam family: Bacterial small subunit ribosomal RNA
Source: RNAcentral